UACAGAGGUCCCGAGCGUUGUUCGGAUUCAUUGGGCGUAAAGGGUGCGUAGGCGGCGGGGUAAGUCUGAUGUGAAAUCCUGGGGCUCAACCCCAGAACUGCAUUGGAUACUGCCUUGCUAGAGUACUGGAGAGGAAACUGGAAUUUACGGUGUAGCAGUGAAAUGCGUAGAGAUCGUAAGGAAGACCAGUGGCGAAGGCGAGUUUCUGGACAGUAACUGACGCUGAGGAGCGAAAGCAUGGGGAGCGAACAGG
This 253-nucleotide ribosomal RNA is filed under the name uncultured bacterium. Its description in RNAcentral is "partial 16S ribosomal RNA". It matches the Rfam family "Bacterial small subunit ribosomal RNA", at positions 524 to 776 of the family's 1533-position model. The record is from RNAcentral.